GCCAGUAUGAUAUCUGAAAGAGCUUUAACGGCAGUUUAACCGGUUCUGUUGUCCCACUUGAGCGAGGCCCCCUACUGAAAAGGCUGCUUCCUUCCUGCAACGUGGAGAGCUAUAACUCACCAGUGCCGGUUAGUGCUAUAGGGCAGGUCAUGGCAUGUGGGCAUAGCUGCGGUCUGUGUGCUCUGUAUUGAGGCAAGGCUAGUUGAACCAGUCUGUCCGUCCAUUGCUGGGAACCAGGAGUGAGUUAUGUGUAAGUGUGUGUGUGUGUGUGUGUGUGUGUGAUGAUAGAUUUGGAGGGCACCAUAUGCUGUGCGAACAUAUUUUGUUGUUUUUGUCACUUCCUCUCUGCAGGAUAACAGUUCUUUUUUGUUGAGGUUGUAAAGGAGUAACACCUAAUGCUAAGGUGUGUGGUGAAUGUGGAAAGGUGUGAGGGUUUCAUUUAGGCAGUUUUUUUGAUCAAUUUUGUGUAUGAUGUGUUUGUUCUGGUGAAAGUUGUUUGCUCUGGCUUAAGCCUUUUGUGUCGCUGUGACAAUCUUGCAAGAGGUGCAAAGGCUUGUUCUCACCUUCGCAGCGAUGUAUCUGGCGGCACAAAUCUUGAUGUUCAGUUACCUGUAAAUGGUCCACGUGGAGAGCUCCACAAAGCAGCGUAGCGUUUGACCACACCAUGUGCGGCCCCUUAGGAAUGCAAGCAUCUUGGAGUGCAAGCCGCAACAGGUUUAACCCACAUCGCCCUGUCAUCUGUGGGUCACAGGGAGCCUGGAGCCUAUCCCAGUGGACUUGGGGCACAAGGCAGGGGGACACCCUGGAUGUCAGGUGUGUCAGGAUGUCAGGUGCCAACCCAUUGUAGGGCACAAUCUCACACACACUACAGACAAUUUGGAAAUCAAUCUUUGGACUGGCGGAGGAAACCCGAGUACUCAGAGAAAACCCCCAAUGCACAAGGAGAACAUGCAAAGUCUGCGCACACAGGGCGGAGGUGGGAUUCGAACCCCAAUCCUGAAGGUGCGAGGCAAAUGUGCUAACCACUAAGCCAUGAUUAUUAUCCAUUUAAGUUUCUAAAGUAGCACAUUGUAUGUGUACUGUACCGUUAAUAAACAGUCAACUAAUCUUUUGCGAAUGUUCUGUGGCUCCAUACAAGUUUGAACUCUUUAGCAUGAAUGCCAAGUGCUACAUCAACAGAUCAUAACACAUAGGCAUCUUUGUAGAAAAAAAAAGUGAUCAGAACCUCACACAUGGUCGAAAGUUAACCUUUAGACAACAGAAACACACAGAGAAGACACGACUAUGAUCAUCCUUGAGUGGUCUAGACGGAGCUUGGUUUUUACCCAGUUGAAUGUUUCUGGAAAGACCUGGAGGUUCCUCUAAACAGACUGGAGGAAUAUCCUUGAAUUCAGGUGUGCCAAGCUCAUAGCAUCAGACUCAAAAAGACUGUAAUUACUGCCAAUACUGCUUUAACAAUGCAUUGAGUAAAGGGUCUGAAUAUUUGUUUCAAAUAUAUCUUUCACAGAUUCAGAAGGAAAAAAAAUGAAUGCAGUACAUUUCAGAGAAAAGAGUAAUGUAGGUGGAUACACCGUGCAUGUGUGUACAGUACCCUACAGCUGCAGAAGCACUUAACUUGCACUGCUGAUGAAGGACUUUUGUCUGAAACAUCUUGAUUCUCUGGUAACCUUGAGUACUUCAUUGAACUUUUACUACUUAUACCAUGUACUAACAAGGCUAUUUAAGGUCUUUGCUAUGGCUCUGUUGCUUUUCCUACUUGAGUUGUAUUUAGUAAUGUUGACCCUGAGUGUCUCAACAUGUUUUCCUGAUAAAUUAUUUUUUUUUUAAACAAAAUGUCUUUAUUUAUGCUAAUGAAUGCACACUGUUUUGUUCAUAUUCAUAAAUACGAGUGUGUGUAAAUCUGAAGUGGAUAUAUGCACUGGAGGUAUA
Long non-coding RNA from Ictalurus punctatus (channel catfish), 1929 nucleotides. The record is from Ensembl. NCBI's taxonomy places the organism in Eukaryota, Metazoa, Chordata, Actinopteri, Siluriformes, Ictaluridae.